Molecule: long non-coding RNA, 1597 nt
Organism: Sapajus apella (tufted capuchin)
Lineage: Eukaryota; Metazoa; Chordata; Mammalia; Primates; Cebidae
Exons: 2
Source: RefSeq, a predicted model, not a curated record
AUUUUAAAUUUUUGUUUUACCUGUUUAAAGAAGUAAAUUGUACUUUUUUUUAUUUUUUCGAAGAGCUCUAUUUUUAUUUCCUUUCAGUUAUCUGUAGAUUCUUAUGUCACAUUUUACUUUAACAGCACAUUUAAAUGGAAUACAAUCUUUAAAUGGAAGCUGACAAUUUAUUUCCCUGGAGAAUUUUUGAAGUAUAAUAACAUUUGAUUGAUUGAACUUUAUUUAGUAAGAACUCUUAGCAAAACUCCCUCCCAGGCACACCCACACAGUGCUUCCUUUUCAGUGAACUACAAAUCUCUGAAACUCAAAACUCCAAUCUAAAAGUACAAGAUUGCUGGACUCAAUGGCUCAUGCCUGUAAUCCCAGCACUUUGGGAGGCCAAGGCAGAAGGAUUGCUUGAGCCCAGAAGUUGAAGACCAACCUACGCAACAUGGUGAAACCUUGUCUCUACAAAAAAUUAGUCAAGCUUCACCAACAACCUUUUAGGAAUCAUUCAUUAAUUAACUCAGUAAAUAUUUUCUGAGUAUGUACUCUACUACAGGAGACAGUAGAGAUCCAGCAAAGAUUAAGAACAUGUGUUGCCCUUAGAGAAAAUUUACAUUCUAAGGAGAUAAAGAUGAAUAAUCAAGUAACAAACAGGAGCUACAUCAAAUGAUCAUAAGUACUAUUCAGAGAAUUAAAACCAGCAGAUCAACAUAGAGAAAAGCUUUCUUACAUUUGAUAGGAAAUUCUCUCUCUACCAGGAGAGAACUGAAUGACAAGGUAGUCAGGUGGGAGAAGGGCAUUCCAGCUGAAACAGCCCUGAACAGAGAACUAGAAAGGCAAGUUUGAGAAAAGGAAUGGAGACAGGAGUAACAGUAUGUGGUCAGAGCAAGGACCAAACCGUUUUAGACUUCAUGAGCCUAAGAAGUUUUGAUUUUGCUGGUAGCAUGAGAAGAGGCCAUAUAAUCGAGUUUUAAGUGGAGGAAUUAUAUGAUCUCAUUUUGUUUAAAAAAUCAUCCUGGCUGUAGUGUGGAGAAUGGACUAGGGGAGCAUAAAAGCAGAAAGACCAAAUUAGAAGCCUAUUAACAGUAAUCCAAAUGACAGAUAAUAGUGGUUUGAACCACAAAGAUUGUGGGCAUGGAAGUAGAUAGAACCAGGAGACAUUUUAGAGGUAUUCUGGCAGAAUUUUUGGCUGACUAGAUACAAGUACUAAGGAAAAUAAAGGAAUCAAGAAUAAUUCCUGUAUUUGGGACUUGAGAAACUGAGAGAAUGGUGCUGCUGUUCACAAAAAUGGAGAAGAUGGAGGAGAAGCUUAGAAUAUAGGAGAAAUCAGAGAUGGAAAUAAAUGUUUGGGAAACACAUUUUUCUACUUCCAUAGUGCCUACAAAUUUCUGUUGAUAGACUAAAAAUGUCUGGAAUUUUAUAUGCAAUUUCAUCUGAACAAUACCCUAAGAGGAGAUCAGUUAUACCUUGGCAUAUGCUAGUAGCCAUAGGAAUGUAUAUAUGUAGAAUAAAUGGUCAAACUACUGAGUGCUUAGUAUCUAUCAGACACCAUGACAUACGUCUUUGAAGUACUAUCCCAGUAGAAUUUACAACAGCCCUAUCAGGAGACACU